ACUGAAUAGAUACCCUGGUAGUCCACGCUGUAAACGAUGAGAGCUAGUUGUCGGCACGCAUGCGUGUCGGUGACGCAGCUAACGCAUUAAGCUCUCCACCUGGGGAGUACGGCCGCAAGGUUAAAACUCAAAGAAAUUGACGGGGGCCCGCACAAGCGGUGGAGCAUGUGGUUUAAUUCGAAGCAACGCGCAGAACCUUACCCACGUUUGACAUGUCUCGUUUGGUCGCCAGAGAUGGCUUCCUUCAGUUCGGCUGGCGAGAACACAGGUGCUGCAUGGCUGCCGUCAGCUCGUGUCGUGAGAUGUUGGGUUAAGUCCCGCAACGAGCGCAACCCUCGCUACUAGUUGCCAUCAGGUUAUGCUGGGCACUCUAGUGGAACUGCCGGUGGCAAGCCGGAGGAAGGUGGGGAUGACGUCAAGUCCUCAUGGCCCUUACGCGUGGGGCUACACACGUGCUACAAUGGUGGUGACAGA
RNAcentral lists this ribosomal RNA (474 nucleotides) under uncultured bacterium. RNAcentral's name for it is "bacterial SSU rRNA". It matches the Rfam family "Bacterial small subunit ribosomal RNA", at positions 772 to 1243 of the family's 1533-position model. The record is from RNAcentral.